GAUAUGGCUCAGGAUGAACGCUAGCUACAGGCUUAACACAUGCAAGUCGAGGGGCAGCGGGAUUGAAGCUUGCUUCAAUUGCCGGCGACCGGCGCACGGGUGAGUAACGCGUAUCCAACCUUCCGCUUACUCGGGGAUAGCCUUUCGAAAGAAAGAUUAAUACCCGAUGGUAUCUUAAGCACGCAUGAGAUUAAGAUUAAAGAUUUAUCGGUAAGCGAUGGGGAUGCGUUCCAUUAGGCAG
This 241-nucleotide ribosomal RNA is filed under the name uncultured bacterium. Its description in RNAcentral is "partial 16S ribosomal RNA". It matches the Rfam family "Bacterial small subunit ribosomal RNA", at positions 15 to 248 of the family's 1533-position model. The record is from RNAcentral.